RNAcentral lists this ribosomal RNA (370 nucleotides) under uncultured organism. RNAcentral describes it as "bacterial SSU rRNA". It matches the Rfam family "Bacterial small subunit ribosomal RNA", at positions 526 to 896 of the family's 1533-position model. The record is from RNAcentral.
CGAAGGGGGCUAGCGUUGCUCGGAAUCACUGGGCGUAAAGCGCACGUAGGCGGAUUGCUAAGUCAGGGGUGAAAUCCUGGAGCUCAACUCCAGAACUGCCUUUGAUACUGGCGAUCUUGAGUCCGGGAGAGGUGAGUGGAACUCCGAGUGUAGAGGUGAAAUUCGUAGAUAUUCGGAAGAACACCAGUGGCGAAGGCGGCUCACUGGCCCGGUACUGACGCUGAUGUGCGAAAGCGUGGGGAGCAAACAGGAUUAGAUACCCUGGUAGUCCACGCCGUAAACGAUGGAUGCUAGCCGUUGGCGGGUUUACCCGUCAGUGGCGCAGCUAACGCAUUAAGCAUCACGCCUGGGGAGUACGGUCGCAAGAUUA